Molecule: long non-coding RNA, 229 nt
Organism: Populus euphratica (Euphrates poplar)
Lineage: Eukaryota; Viridiplantae; Streptophyta; Magnoliopsida; Malpighiales; Salicaceae
Exons: 2
Source: RefSeq, a predicted model, not a curated record
AAAAGAGGGGGUACACAUUCCAAGUCAACCAGGAAGAUUAGGAGGCUAUAAAUUCUGGCAAGUUACUAUACAUAAUGGAUAAAAGAACGAAGUUUCUCAAGACUACGUCAAGAUUAUUGCAAAAAAGAGAGAAUACUAGGAAAAUGACGUACCCUGUCCUUGCUUCUCUCUGCAACCAUAGGUGCGAGUUCUAAAUCCUGGCGGGAGAAAAUCUCAGGCUUCCUGGCGA